RNAcentral lists this ribosomal RNA (406 nucleotides) under uncultured bacterium. RNAcentral's name for it is "partial 16S ribosomal RNA". It matches the Rfam family "Bacterial small subunit ribosomal RNA", at positions 30 to 526 of the family's 1533-position model. The record is from RNAcentral.
AUUGAACGCUGGCGGCAGGCCUAACACAUGCAAGUCGGGCGAGUGGCGGACGGGUGAGUAAUGUAUGGGGAUCUGCCUGAUGGCGGGGGAUCACUACUUGAAACGGUAGCUAAUUCCGCCUUCCAUCUGUUGAACCUAUCUGGGAUUAGCUAGUGGGUGAGGUAACGGCUUACCUAGGCGACGAACCCUAGCUGGUCUGAGAGGAUGAUCAGCCACACGGGGACGGAGACACGGCCCAGACUCCUACGGGAGGCAGAAGUGGGGAAGAUUGCACAAUGGGCGCAAGCCGGAUGCAGCAAUGCGGCGUGUAUGAAGAAGGCCUUCGGGUUGUAAAGUACUUUCAGUCGGGAGGCGUUACCGACAGAAGAAGCACCGGCUAACUCCGUGCCAGCCGCCGCGGUAAUAC